GGCGAGCGGCGGACGGGUGAGUAAAGUCUGGGGAUCUGGCUUAUGGAGGGGGGUAACCAUUGGAAACGGUGGCUAAUACCGCAUGAUGUCGCAAGACCAAAGUGGGGGACUUUAGGGCCUCACGCCAUAAGAUGAACCCAGAUGAGAUUAGCUAGUAGGUGCGGUAAUGGCGUACCUAGGCGACGAUCUCUAGCUGGUCUGAGAGGAUGACCAGCCACACUGGAACUGAGAAACGGUCCAGACUCCUACGGGAGGCAGCAGUGGGGAAUAUUGCACAAUGGGCGGAAGCCUGAUGCAGCCAUGCCGCGUGUGUGAAGAAGGCCUUAGGGUUGUAAAGCACUUUCAGCGGGGAGGAAGGCGGUAAGAGUAAUAUGCUUAUCGAUUGACGUUACCCGCAAAAGAAGCACCGGCUAACUCCGUGCCAGCAGCCGCGGUAAUACGGAGGGUGCGAGCGUUAAUCGGAAUAACUGGGCGUAAAGGGCAUGUAGGCGGUAAGUUAAGUCAGAUGUGAAAUCCCCGAGCUUAACUUGGGAACGGCAUUUGAGACUGGCGGGCUAGAGUUUUGUAGAGGGGGGUAGAAUUCCAGGUGUAGCGGUGAAAUGCGUAAAGAUCUGGAGGAAUACCGGUGGCGAAGGCGGCCCCUGGACAAGGACUGACGCUGAGGUGCGAAAGCGUGGGUAGCAAACAGGAUUAGAUACCCUGGUAGUCCACGCUGUAAACGAUGUCGAUUUGGAGGUUGUGGCCUAGUGUUAUGGCGUCCGAAGCUAACGCGAUAAAUCGACCGCCUGGGGAGUACGGCCGCAAGGUUAAAACUCAAAUGAAUUGACGGGGGCCCGCACAAGCGGUGGAGCAUGUGGUUUAAUUCGAUGCAACGCGAAGAACCUUACCUACUCUUGACAUCCACGGAAUUGAGCAGAGAUGCUUAAGUGCCUUCGGGAGCCGUGAGACAGGUGCUGCAUGGCUGUCGUCAGCUCGUGUUGUGAAAUGUUGGGUUAAGUCCCGCAACGAGCGCAACCCUUGUCCUUUGUUGCCAGCGCGUGAUGGCGGGAACUCAAAGGAGACUGCCGGUGAUAAACCGGAGGAAGGUGGGGAUGACGUCAAGUCAUCAUGGCCCUUACGAGUAGGGCUACACACGUGCUACAAUGGCGCAUACAAAGAGCGGCGAGCGUGCGAACGUAAGCGAACCUCAUAAAGUGCGUCGUAGUCCGGAUUGGAGUCUGCAACUCGACUCCAUGAAGUCGGAAUCGCUAGUAAUCGUGGAUCAGAAUGCUACGGUGAAUACGUUCCCGGGCCUUGUACACACCGCCCGUCACACCAUGGGAGUGGGCGGCAAAAGAAGUAGGUAGCUUAACCUUCGGGGGGGCGCUUACCACUUUGUGGUU
Molecule: ribosomal RNA, 1382 nt
Filed under: Candidatus Regiella insecticola
Lineage: Bacteria; Pseudomonadati; Pseudomonadota; Gammaproteobacteria; Enterobacterales; Enterobacteriaceae
Description: 16S ribosomal RNA
Rfam family: Bacterial small subunit ribosomal RNA
Source: RNAcentral